AACGAACGCUGGCGGCAUGCCUAACACAUGCAAGUCGAACGAGACCUUCGGGUCUAGUGGCGCACGGGUGCGUAACGCGUGGGAACCUGCCCUUAGGUUCGGAAUCACUCCCCGAAAGGGGUGCUAAUACCGGAUAAUGUCUUCGGACCAAAGAUUUAUCGCCUUUGGAUGGGCCCGCGUUGGAUUAGCUAGUUGGUAGGGUAAAAGCCUACCAAGGCGACGAUCCAUAGCUGGUCUGAGAGGAUGAUCAGCCACACUGGGACUGAGACACGGCCCAGACUCCUACGGGAGGCAGCAGUGGGGAAUAUUGGACAAUGGGCGAAAGCCUGAUCCAGCAAUGCCGCGUGAGUGAUGAAGGCCUUAGGGUUGUAAAGCUCUUUUACCCGGGAUGAUAAUGACAGUACCGGGAGAAUAAGCGCCGGCUAACUACGUG
This 433-nucleotide ribosomal RNA is filed under the name uncultured bacterium. RNAcentral describes it as "partial 16S ribosomal RNA". It matches the Rfam family "Bacterial small subunit ribosomal RNA", at positions 29 to 507 of the family's 1533-position model. The record is from RNAcentral.